GAGUUUGAUCAUGGCUCAGGAUGAACGCUGGCGGCGUGCUUAACACAUGCAAGUCGAACGAUGAUCCCAGCUUGCUGGGGGAUUAGUGGCGAACGGGUGAGUAACACGUGAGUAACCUGCCCUUAACUCUGGGAUAAGCCUGGGAAACUGGGUCUAAUACCGGAUAUGACUCCUCAUCGCAUGGUGGGGGGUGGAAAGCUUUAUUGUGGUUUUGGAUGGACUCGCGGCCUAUCAGCUUGUUGGUGAGGUAAUGGCUUACCAAGGCGACGACGGGUAGCCGGCCUGAGAGGGUGACCGGCCACACUGGGACUGAGACACGGCCCAGACUCCUACGGGAGGCAGCAGUGGGGAAUAUUGCACAAUGGGCGCAAGCCUGAUGCAGCGACGCCGCGUGAGGGAUGACGGCCUUCGGGUUGUAAACCUCUUUCAGUAGGGAAGAAGCGAAAGUGACGGUACCUGCAGAAGAAGCGCCGGCUAACUACGUGCCAGCAGCCGCGGUAAUACGUAGGGCGCAAGCGUUAUCCGGAAUUAUUGGGCGUAAAGAGCUCGUAGGCGGUUUGUCGCGUCUGCCGUGAAAGUCCGGGGCUCAACUCCGGAUCUGCGGUGGGUACGGGCAGACUAGAGUGAUGUAGGGGAGACUGGAAUUCCUGGUGUAGCGGUGAAAUGCGCAGAUAUCAGGAGGAACACCGAUGGCGAAGGCAGGUCUCUGGGCAUUAACUGACGCUGAGGAGCGAAAGCAUGGGGAGCGAACAGGGUUAGAUACCCUGGUAGUCCAUGCCGUAAACGUUGGGCACUAGGUGUGGGGGACAUUCCACGUUUUCCGCGCCGUAGCUAACGCAUUAAGUGCCCCGCCU
This 854-nucleotide ribosomal RNA is filed under the name uncultured bacterium. Its description in RNAcentral is "bacterial SSU rRNA". It matches the Rfam family "Bacterial small subunit ribosomal RNA", at positions 9 to 873 of the family's 1533-position model. The record is from RNAcentral.